AAAUAUUAAUUUAUUUAUUCCAUGUAUACAGGUACACUGUAGCUGUCUUCAGACACACCAGAAGAGAGCAUCAGGUCCCAUUACAGAUGCUUCUGAGCCACCAUGUAGUUACUGGGAAUUAAACUCAGGAUCUCUGGAAGAGCAGUCAGUGCUAUUAACCACUGAGCCAUCUCUCCAGCCCCUUUAGUGUUAAACUUUAACUGACAUUUGAAGAUAUUAUAUCACAAAGAUUUGAAGACUUUGCUGCGAGAAUGUGACUGUGGAACACACUGCAAUUGAUUAUAAAGUUAUAUCUGGUCUAGCACCGGGCACUUGGCAGUUACAGAGCCCGGCGAGGACGCUAGGUUGUGGUUACAGCCUCAUAACCAGCAACCCGUGCCUUUCUCGACAGCACGGCUUCAGUGUUUCCUCUAACGGCGACAUUUAUCAAAUGAGUAGCAAUAAAAUUGAUGUCAAGAAGCCAAUCCUAAAAGCAAAAUGCAUUCACAAUACAGAGCUGCAUACAUGCUGUGAUAGGAAGUAAGCAUGUGGUUACUUCCUAUCUCCAUUUCAACGAUAUAAUAUGUAGUAUGUCCAAGAGAAAGGGAAGCCACUGAUAAGUCUAACAGCACUGUACAAAGUAAAGUCCAGCAUUUGUCAUCAUGAGUGUCCCUGUGUCUCUCCCCACUGAAUAUGUGUUUCGUAAGCUCUAGUGAAGUCACAAAGCACAGUCAUUGUCCUUUCACAAGGUCAUGCAAACUGUCUCUGAGAAUCUGGCCGGAAUGAGCCCGGGAUAAUCAACUGCAAAUGUGCUAGACUGUAAAGCCUCCCCCAGUAAAAAUCUAUUACCACAGCAAAGCUAUCCAGAAAAAAUAAACUCAACAAACUGGUAAGGGAUUUCAUCCGAUAGCCAUGAGAAUUACAAGCACCUCAGAUUUUAAGCAAGAAGAGAUUCCCAUGCCAAACGAUGGGGUGAUCCAGUGAUCUUUUGUAUUUGAAGAGCACAGAUUUACAUCUGCAAAGCCAUUGUUUACUCAAACGUGGAACGCUGCACUCUCUCUGUGCUGGGGACCAUAAGGUGAACUGUUUCCUGUUUUAAGCAACGGAAGGUCCACGGAGAGUGAGCACUCCGUGGCGCUCUCUCCCUUCUCUUCACACAAAUUUGAGUGUGAUAGAGAUUGCUCUGUGUACCUGUGGUAGGGCAACAAUAGUGCCUGUAUUGUCUUGAGUGCUAAGCUCACCCAAAUCAUCUGAAAGGGGUUGGAUAUGUGAAGGGAAACACAGACACCGUGUGCUCUUUAGGAGAGGUUGCCUGGCUGACCUGAGGGUUUCUGUUUUAAAGCCAUCAGUCCACCGCUCUGAAUGAGCAGGCACAGAAUUGUUGAUAACUAAUCACUACUAUUGCUGUGUAAUUCUUGAGGAGGCCCAAAAUUGUGCUGCCAUGGCACUGGUGCCAUAUGUUUCUUCCUGCCCUGUUGCCUUUUCUAUAAAAAGAAUUCAAGGGCCACCAUGCCGUUUAAUCAGACCACUUCAGUAUUGACUGACUGAGGCCAAAUGAAAUUGGGAAAAAU
Molecule: long non-coding RNA, 1550 nt
Filed under: Rattus norvegicus (Norway rat)
Lineage: Eukaryota; Metazoa; Chordata; Mammalia; Rodentia; Muridae
Description: long non-coding RNA NONRATT033761
Source: RNAcentral